This 465-nucleotide ribosomal RNA is filed under the name Vreelandella stevensii. RNAcentral describes it as "partial 16S ribosomal RNA". It matches the Rfam family "Bacterial small subunit ribosomal RNA", at positions 338 to 795 of the family's 1533-position model. The record is from RNAcentral. Lineage: Bacteria; Pseudomonadati; Pseudomonadota; Gammaproteobacteria; Oceanospirillales; Halomonadaceae.
CCUACGGGAGGCAGCAGUGGGGAAUAUUGGACAAUGGGGGCAACCCUGAUCCAGCCAUGCCGCGUGUGUGAAGAAGGCCCUCGGGUUGUAAAGCACUUUCAGUGAGGAAGAACGCCUGGUGGUUAAUACCCAUCAGGAAAGACAUCACUCACAGAAGAAGCACCGGCUAACUCCGUGCCAGCAGCCGCGGUAAUACGGAGGGUGCGAGCGUUAAUCGGAAUUACUGGGCGUAAAGCGCGCGUAGGUGGCUUGAUAAGCCGGUUGUGAAAGCCCCGGGCUCAACCUGGGAACGGCAUCCGGAACUGUCAAGCUAGAGUGCAGGAGAGGAAGGUAGAAGUCCCGGUGUAGCGGUGAAAUGCGUAGAGAUCGGGAGGAAUACCAGUGGCGAAGGCGGCCUUCUGGACUGACACUGACACUGAGGUGCGAAAGCGUGGGUAGCAAACAGGAUUAGAUACCCCAGUAGUC